CGAAGCGUGCGAUUGGAUUGCACGUCUAAGCAGUAAGGCUGAGUAUUAGGCAAAUCCGGUACUCAUUAAGGCUGAGCUGUGAUGGGGAGAAGACAUUGUGUCUUCGAGUCGUUGAUUUCACACUGCCGAGAAAAGCCUCUAGAUAGAAAAUAGGUGCCCGUACCGCAAACCGACACAGGUAGUCAAGAUGAGAAUUCUAAGGUGAGCGAGCGAACUCUCGUUAAGGAACUCGGCAAAAUGACCCCGUAACUUCGGGAGAAGGGGUGCUCUUUAGGGUUAACGCCCAGAAGAGCCGCAGUGAAUAGGCCCAAGCGACUGUUUAUCAAAAACACAGGUCUCUGCUAAACCGUAAGGUGAUGUAUAGGGGCUGACGCCUGCCCGGUGCUGGAAGGUUAAGAGGAGUGGUUAGCUUCUGCGAAGCUACGAAUCGAAGCCCCAGUAAACGGCGGCCGUAACUAUAACGGUCCUAAGGUAGCGAAAUUCCUUGUCGGGUAAGUUCCGACCCGCACGAAAGGCGUAACGAUUUGGGCACUGUCUCAACGAGAGACUCGGUGAAAUCAUAGUACCUGUGAAGAUGCAGGUUACCCGCGACAGGACGGAAAGACCCCGUGGAGCUUUACUGUAGCCUGAUAUUGAAAUUCGGCACAGCUUGUACAGGAUAGGUAGGAGCCUUUGAAACGUGAGCGCUAGCUUACGUGGAGGCGCUGGUGGGAUACUACCCUAGCUGUGUUGGCUUUCUAACCCGCACCACUUAUCGUGGUGGGAGACAGUGUCAGGCGGGCAGUUUGACUGGGGCGGUCGCCUCCUAAAAGGUAACGGAGGCGCUCAAAGGUUCCCUCAGAAUGGUUGGAAAUCAUUCAUAGAGUGUAAAGGCAUAAGGGAGCUUGACUGCGAGACCUACAAGUCGAGCAGGGUCGAAAGACGGACUUAGUGAUCCGGUGGUUCCGCAUGGAAGGGCCAUCGCUCAACGGAUAAAAGCUACCCCGGGGAUAACAGGCUUAUCUCCCCCAAGAGUUCACAUCGACGGGGAGGUUUGGCACCUCGAUG
RNAcentral lists this ribosomal RNA (1047 nucleotides) under Staphylococcus aureus. Its description in RNAcentral is "partial 23S ribosomal RNA". It matches the Rfam family "Bacterial large subunit ribosomal RNA", at positions 1487 to 2531 of the family's 2925-position model. Lineage: Bacteria; Bacillati; Bacillota; Bacilli; Caryophanales; Staphylococcaceae. The record is from RNAcentral.